Molecule: transfer RNA, 73 nt
Filed under: Rhinocladiella mackenziei CBS 650.93
Lineage: Eukaryota; Fungi; Ascomycota; Eurotiomycetes; Chaetothyriales; Herpotrichiellaceae
Description: tRNA-Thr (AGT) (tRNA-Thr-AGT-1-1)
Rfam family: tRNA
About the family: Transfer RNA (tRNA) molecules are approximately 80 nucleotides in length. Their secondary structure includes four short double-helical elements and three loops (D, anti-codon, and T loops).
Source: RNAcentral
GCCUCUGUAGCUCAGUUGGUAGAGCGCGGCGUGAGUUAUGCCGAGGUCUUGAGUUCGACUCUCAACGGAGGCA